RNAcentral lists this ribosomal RNA (712 nucleotides) under Triticum aestivum (bread wheat). RNAcentral's name for it is "partial small subunit ribosomal RNA". The record is from RNAcentral. Lineage: Eukaryota; Viridiplantae; Streptophyta; Magnoliopsida; Poales; Poaceae.
CCCAUCUCUCCCGAUCCCCUCGCUCCUUACCUCUUUCCUCCUUGCGCCGCCACUCACAGGGGGAAGCGCUCGCGCUCUUGCUUGAUCCCCCCUUCAUGCUCGCUCUGCCGUGCCGCCCCGCAGCUCCUCCCGCUGUCCUCGCGCCACCGCCUAGAUGUCCGCGCCCCACCGUGGCCGUUGCCUGCUGGCGCGCGCGUGUGCUCGCCUGAGCUGCACGUCCACCCCCUUGUCACCGGCGGCCCCCAGGUCGUUGGCCACCGAAGCAUGCCAGCGAACGCCAUCGACUCCUUCCGCGCGACGCCUGCGCCAGCCUCCACCGACCCUCCUGCCACGAUGGACUCCUCCACGCCUCGCCAGUGUUCCCCUGCAACGGGGACCCCGAGACUGCCGGCGACCCCCAGUUCCACUACGGUGUUGACGACCCUUCCUUCUUGCCAGAGCAACCAGAUGCUGGAGCCCAGGAGCCAGACGCCACCGUCGACGACGACUCCUACUUCCCCGGAGGUGCCUACUACUAUGUGCAGCCCGCUGACGACGACCAGGAGUAGUUAGGAGGAUCCCAGGCAGGAGGCCUGCGCCUCUUUCGAUCUGUAUCCCAGUUUGUGCUAGCCUUCUUAAGGCAAACUUGUUUAAAUUAUGUCUGUACUCAGAUAUUGUUGCUUCCGCUGACUCGUCUAUGAUCGAGCACUUGUAUUCGAGCCCUCGAGGCCCC